This 1225-nucleotide ribosomal RNA is filed under the name uncultured bacterium. RNAcentral's name for it is "partial 16S ribosomal RNA". It matches the Rfam family "Bacterial small subunit ribosomal RNA", at positions 155 to 1398 of the family's 1533-position model. The record is from RNAcentral.
AACGAAUGCUAAUACCGGAUAUUAUGUGAGUUUCGCAUGAAAUUCAUAUGAAAGCUAUAUGCGCUGCAGGAGAGCUUUGCGUCCUAUUAGCUAGUUGGUGAGGUAACGGCUCACCAAGGCGAUGAUAGGUAGCCGGCCUGAGAGGGUGAACGGCCACAAGGGGACUGAGACACGGCCCUUACUCCUACGGGAGGCAGCAGUGGGGAAUAUUGGACAAUGGACCAAAAGUCUGAUCCAGCAAUUCUGUGUGCACGAUGAAGUUUUUCGGAAUGUAAAGUGCUUUCAGUUGGGACGAAGUAAGUGACGGUACCAACAGAAGAAGCGACGGCUAAAUACGUGCCAGCAGCCGCGGUAAUACGUAUGUCGCAAGCGUUAUCCGGAUUUAUUGGGCGUAAAGCGCGUCUAGGCGGUUUGGUAAGUCUGAUGUGAAAAUGCGGGGCCCAACUCCGUAUUGCGUUGGAAACUGCCAAACUAGAGUACUGGAGAGGUGGGCGGAACUACAAGUGUAGAGGUGAAAUUCGUAGAUAUUUGUAGGAAUGCCGAUGGGGAAGCCAGCCCACUGGACAGAUACUGACGCUAAAGCGCGAAAGCGUGGGUAGCAAACAGGAUUAGAUACCCUGGUAGUCCACGCCGUAAACGAUGGAUACUAGGUGUGGGGGGACUGACCCCCUCCGUGCCGCAGUUAACACAAUAAGUAUCCCACCUGGGGAGUACGAUCGCAAGGUUGAAACUCAAAGGAAUUGACGGGGGCCCGCACAAGCGGUGGAGUAUGUGGUUUAAUUCGAAGCAACGCGAAGAACCUUACCAGGGCUUGACAUCCGACUAACGAAGCAGAGAUGCAUUAGGUGCCCUUCGGGGAAAGUCGAGACAGGUGGUGCAUGGUUGUCGUCAGCUCGUGUCGUGAGAUGUUGGGUUAAGUCCCGCAACGAGCGCAACCCUUAUUGUUAGUUGCUACGCAAGAGCACUCUAGCGAGACUGCCGUUGACAAAACGGAGGAAGGUGGGGACGACGUCAAAUCAUCAUGCCCCUUAUGUCCUGGGCCACACACGUACUACAAUGGUGGUAAACAGAGGGAAGCAAUGCCGCGAGGUGGAGCAAAUCCCUAAAAGCCAUCCCAGUUCGGAUUGCAGGCUGAAACCCGCCUGUAUGAAGUUGGAAUCGCUAGUAAUCGCGGAUCAGCAUGCCGCGGUGAAUACGUUCCCGGGCCUUGUACUCACCGCCCGUA